This 852-nucleotide ribosomal RNA is filed under the name uncultured bacterium. RNAcentral's name for it is "bacterial SSU rRNA". It matches the Rfam family "Bacterial small subunit ribosomal RNA", at positions 524 to 1380 of the family's 1533-position model. The record is from RNAcentral.
UACGUAGGUGUCGAGCGUUGUCCGGAUUUAUUGGGCGUAAAGAGCCCGCAGGCGGCUUGUCAAGUUCGAGGUGAAAUCUCCCGGCUCAACUGGGAGGGUGCCUCGAAAACUGGCAGGCUUGAGGCAGGGAGAGGGAUGUGGAAUUCCCGGUGUAGUGGUGAAAUGCGUAGAUAUCGGGAGGAACACCAGUGGCGAAGGCGGCAUCCUGGCCCUGUCCUGACGCUCAGGGGCGAAAGCGUGGGUAGCAAACCGGAUUAGAUACCCGGGUAGUCCACGCCGUAAACGAUGAGUACUAGGUGUAGGGGGUAUCGACCCCCUCUGUGCCGAAGCUAACGCGAUAAGUACUCCGCCUGGGGACUACGGCCGCAAGGCUAAAACUCAAAGGAAUUGACGGGGGCCCGCACAAGCAGCGGAGCGUGUGGUUUAAUUCGAUGAUACGCGAAGAACCUCACCCAGGUUUGACAUGCAUGUGGUACCAAUGUGAAAGCUGAGGGACCCUUCGGGGAGCAUGCACAGGUGUUGCACGGCCGUCGUCAGCUCGUGCCGUGAGGUGUUGGGUUAAGUCCCGCAACGAGCGCAACCCUUGUCAUUAGUUGCUACGAAAGGGCACUCUAAUGAGACUGCCGGUGACAAACCGGAGGAAGGUGGGGAUGACGUCAGGUCAUCAUGGCCCUUAUGGGUAGGGCUACACACGUCAUACAAUGGCCGGUACAGAGGGCUGCCAACCCGCGAGGGGGAGCUAAUCCCAGAAAACCGGUCGUAGUCCGGAUCGCAGUCUGCAACUCGACUGCGUGAAGUCGGAAUCGCUAGUAAUCGCGGAUCAGCUUGCCGCGGUGAAUACGUUCCCGGGUC